AUUGAACGCUGGCGGCAGGCCUAACACAUGCAAGUCGAACGAGUGGCGGACGGGUGAGUAAUGUCUGGGAAACUGCCCGAUGGAGGGGGAUAACUACUGGAAACGGUAGCUAAUACCGCAUACCAUCGGAUGUGCCCAGAUGGGAUUAGCUAGUAGGUGGGGUAAAGGCUUACCAAGGCGACGAUCCCUAGCUGGUAUGAGAGGAUGACCAGGCACACGGGAACGGAGAAACGGUCCAGACGCCUACGGGAGGCAGCAGUGGGGAAUAUUGCACAAUGGGCGCAAGCCUGAUACAGCCAUGCCGAGUGUAUGAAGAAGGCCUUCGGGUUGUAAAGUACUUUCAGCGGGGAGGCGUUACCCGCAGAAGAAGCACCGGCUAACUCCGUGCCAGCAGCCGCGGUAAUUC
This 406-nucleotide ribosomal RNA is filed under the name uncultured bacterium. RNAcentral's name for it is "partial 16S ribosomal RNA". It matches the Rfam family "Bacterial small subunit ribosomal RNA", at positions 29 to 526 of the family's 1533-position model. The record is from RNAcentral.